This 497-nucleotide ribosomal RNA is filed under the name uncultured bacterium. RNAcentral describes it as "partial 16S ribosomal RNA". It matches the Rfam family "Bacterial small subunit ribosomal RNA", at positions 28 to 507 of the family's 1533-position model. The record is from RNAcentral.
GAUGAACGCUGGCGGCGUGCCUAAUACAUGCAAGUCGAGCGAACAGACGAGGAGCUUGCUCCUCUGACGUUAGCGGCGGACGGGUGAGUAACACGUGGAUAACCUACCUAUAAGACUGGGAUAACUUCGGGAAACCGGAGCUAAUACCGGAUAAUAUAUUGAACCGCAUGGUUCAAUAGUGAAAGACGGUUUUGCUGUCACUUAUAGAUGGAUCCGCGCCGCAUUAGCUAGUUGGUAAGGUAACGGCUUACCAAGGCAACGAUGCGUAGCCGACCUGAGAGGGGGGUCGGCCGCACUGGAACUGAGACACGGUCCAGACUCCUACGGGAGGCAGCAGUAGGGAAUCUUCCGCAAUGGGCGAAAGCCUGACGGAGCAACGCCGCGUGAGUGAUGAAGGUCUUCGGAUCGUAAAACUCUGUUAUUAGGGAAGAACAAAUGUGUAAGUAACUAUGCACGUCUUGACGGUACCUAAUCAGAAAGCCACGGCUAACUACGUG